Molecule: ribosomal RNA, 311 nt
Filed under: uncultured eukaryote
Lineage: Eukaryota
Description: partial 18S ribosomal RNA
Rfam family: Eukaryotic small subunit ribosomal RNA
Source: RNAcentral
CCCCUAGACGUUCUGGGCUGCACGCGUGCUACAAUAAUACGCACAGCGAGUAUCACCGAGCUCGAAAGGGCAAGGUAAACAAUAGAAAAGGUACUGUAAUGGUUAUAGAUCCUUGUAAUUAUUGAUCUUCAACGAGGAAUUCCUAGUAAGUAUGUGUCAUCAUCACGCACUGAUUACGUCCCUGCCCUUUGUACACACCGCCCGUCGCUCCUACCGAUUGGGUGAGCCGAUGAAACUCUCGGAUGUAGGCUAUUCAUAGCCCGCAGAAGAGAUUUGAAUCGUAGCGCUUAGAGGAAGGAGAAGUCGUAACA